GAUUUUGCUCGGCUCGUUCUGCCAAUCUGCUCCAAUUAUUGGCAAUAUAGUGCUAGGAGAGUGCACUUUCUGACAGAUAUUGAAAGCACUGCUUCCACAGUCUUCAAGUCUUUGCCAGCGUGGAUUGCUGGGUCCUGAAAUCAGCUUUCUUCACUAGCAGCACAGUCACAACACCUUCAUUCGUAUGAGUAUGAAACAGAACUGACGUUUCAGGAAGUUGUGACAAUCUGAUGCUCAAGUGUCCAUGGAUCCAGAAAAACAUCUCACUGUCCUUCUGCAAAGAGCAUGGAAGUCCUUCACUCUCACUUGACUGAUCAUCAGAGCCAUGCAGAAGCACAUACAUGUCAAGAAUGGCAUAUAUGGCAUUCAAAGAAGCAUCUCUGUUGCAUACAGGGCUUGUGGAAUUUACAGCACAGAUGAUGGGGGACAACAAAGCCACUAAUCAUCAGGAAGAUUUAAUCAACAUUUUACUUUGGGGAAUUUGGAUACACCUUUUAUUCCUAGCAAAGACUAGCCUGUGAUCUGGUUUAAAGACAAAAUUUAAAAGCACAAGGCAAAAGAAAAGAAAAAUGAACAAACAAAACAGAAAUAAAAUGAGGCUGCUUAUUACUGUUCCUAAAGGAAUCUUUAUUUUCAACUAUGUUUCUUAUUGCUUGAAAAAUUUAAAUCACUUUUAUGAAAAAUAGCUUUUUAUUGGUAUUUGCUAUUACAUAAGGAUCUCCUGAAACAUAAGAAACUAAAAUAAUUGCCAGUUUAGCAAUUAGGUAGCUGUCUUUGGGUAAUUCCACUGCAAUUGUCUCACUCCUACUUUAUCAUGGUGAAGAGUAAUCUCGGUCUAUCUUGCUCCCAGUUGAGUAUACCUCUGCAACACCUUGUUCUCUAAAACUCUGAACAGUUCAUUAAAAUCCUAAGGAAUACUCUAAGUCCUGCAAAAGUCCUCUCUUUUAUUUUUCUUUUCUGUU
Long non-coding RNA from Cyanistes caeruleus (blue tit), 962 nucleotides. RefSeq lists it as uncharacterized. The record is from RefSeq and is a predicted model, not a curated record. NCBI's taxonomy places the organism in Eukaryota, Metazoa, Chordata, Aves, Passeriformes, Paridae.